GAUGAACGCUGACAGAAUGCUUAACACAUGCAAGUCUUUGGCGAAGCUGUGCUUGCACAGCCUAGCCAAGGCGGACGGGUGAGUAACGCGUAAGGAACUUGCCCUGCAGUCAGGGAUAACAGACGGAAACGACUGAUAAGACCUGGUAAAGUCAGGCGGACUCAUGUCCAGCCUGAUGAAAAGAGAUGCUGCAGGAGAGCCUUGCGUCCUAUUAGCUUGUUGGUGGGGUAACGGCCCACCAAGGCGAUGAUAGGUAGCCGGCCUGAGAGGGUGGACGGCCACAAGGGGACUGAGAUACGGCCCUUACUCCUACGGGAGGCAGCAGUGGGGAAUAUUGGACAAUGGGGGCAACCCUGAUCCAGCAAUUCUGUGUGCAAGAUGAAGGUUUUCGGAUUGUAAAGUGCUUUCAGCAGGGAAGAAAAAAUGACGGUACCUGCAGAAGAAGCGACGGCUAAAUACGUG
Molecule: ribosomal RNA, 462 nt
Filed under: uncultured bacterium
Lineage: Bacteria
Description: partial 16S ribosomal RNA
Rfam family: Bacterial small subunit ribosomal RNA
Source: RNAcentral